GGUCGGACGCGCCCGAGCGAGGGAGCGGAGGCGACUCGGCCGCCAUGUUAGGAGUGCCGGGAGGACUCCGCGGAGCCGCCCGGAGGUUCAGGGAGCGCGGGAUCCGAGUGGUGGUGCGGUGGGGACGGUUUGGGCCUUCACUUAUUUCUCAUACGGAAGUGAUUUGCAAAGGUCUUAAAAGAAACCGUUAUUGGAAGAGUCUGUCUACACUAUGGAAAGAUGGGAAAUUUCAUUUCCUGCUGAGGGUGUCUCAAGGGUUAAAGAAAAUGCUGUUAUCUGUGCUUCCCCCACCUACUUCUCCCUUUUGCACUUUAUUCUGAGAACAGAAUUGACUGUGGUUUGGGGGGGUUAGUGGAGGUAUGCACUAUAUCUCUAUUAGGACAUAAUAAAAUUAGAGCAGAUAGUUUCUCCUAUUAAAAAAAAAAAAAGGCUAGUCAGAGUGAUUUAAAAUGACCAAAACAGGCAGAAACAGUCUUUCAGAUGUAUGCAGAUGAUAAUUAUAAAAACAGAAUUUGAAAGACUCAACAUAUGUCAUGUUCCUGGGAACAAGCCACAAGAUGAGUCACUUUGUUUCAUUCUUACACAAAGGUAAAUUGUUGGUGUCAUUUAUCCAUGAAUACAACCAUGUACAAGGCUCAUACAAAUAGUAUGUUAUUCAGAAACACUUUUGCAAAUACUGAUGGUAAGUAGUUGGAAAGAAGCAAAUGCUUACUUUUUUUUUUUCUGACCUCUGGCUUACCUUAGAAAUGUUUUGAGCUAAUAAAUCUUGUGCAUUUUAUAAGACAGUUAUGUAAGCAACAGCCUUAGUUUGAGUUACUGUGAAAGGCCAGUAUAUAGUGGGGAAAGGAACAGAAUGCUCAAAAAUCUUACGUGUGAAAAAUAAGAGUGAUAUCUUUUUAAGUUUAAAGUUUUUAAGUUUAAAGUUGUUCAUCUGAACAUCUGGCCAUACGUGAAACGAAUGUAUUUAGUAUCCUUAAAAUUGUCCGUGAUUUAAUUCUUUUUUUUUUUUCUUUUAAACUUUUUUUUUUUUUAGUUGUAGUUGGACACAGUGCCUUUAUUUUAUUUAUUGCUGUGUGAUGCUAAGGAUCGAACCCAGCGCCUCGCACAUGCUAGGUAGCACUCCAUUACUGAGCCACAAUCCCAGCCCCUCCAUGAUGUAAUUCUUACUUUGAUGAGGGGGGAAAAAUUCCACACUCCUGUUUAGAAAUUUGAUUUACAAAUUAAUAUCUGUGGGUCUGUGAUGCUAGCUUCUGAAAGAAUAGCCUGAGGAAAAUAUUGAAUUAGAAAAACAUUUUAAAAUUGGAAUUAGGAAAGAGAUAAACUACAUUCAAGUAUCAUAGGUAGCACAUUUAAGAGUAUUGAGUCAGUUGCAUUUAGAGCAGAGGUUUUUUUCAACAAGGAUAAGUGUCAGGAUUGCCUAUAAAAAUCUAAAAAUAUAUUACUACUGCCCAUCCAUCCCUGUUGAAUUGGAACCAACUAUUGAGUAUUUUUAGAACUUUAUAAGUGUGACUACAGGGCUUGGGUGGAGUAGUCUUCUGCAUCCUGUAUUUGUGUUUUUGUAUUAUCUAAAGCAAGGAAUAACAAAAAGAUUUUGGCAAAAACUAGUUAAUUGCUGAUUUUAUCCAUGUGAUUUCUGAAAGUGUAGAUGAGGGAUUCACCUGGUGAUCAACUUAAACAUGGCAUUUGGGAAGCAAAUGCAGCUGAAAUUGGGGAGAAGAAAUCAAUGUUAACCUUAAAAGUACUGCCAUAUCAUCACUUACCUAGAUGUUUCUGAGAGUGAAGGUUUAGCCUAAUCCUAACAAAGCCUAAUAAUAAGAGACACCCAGUAAUAGCACAAUGCCAGUAAGAGCUCAUUGCCAUGAUAAAAUCAUGGUAGUUAUUCAGAAAGAGGCAACAUGAUAUUUUGGUUUGGGGAAUUUUCUGGAAAUAACAACCCUUUGCCCUAAAUCUAGAAUUUUUUUAGAUUAUUGAUAUUGUAACGUUCUUGAUAUUUGAGUAUCUAAAGUCAUAUAGGCCCCUUUUUAGAAAUGAGAAAUCUUACAGAUCGUCUAAGACAUGUUCUACAGAAGAGGAAAUGGACACAGUAAAUUUUAAAAUUACUAGUGGUCACACUGCACGCUAGUGGUAAGACGCAUAGCUAAAGGUGAAAUCCAGUUCCUUCCAUCUUUAGUGCUAUGCGCAUUUUUUUUAAGCUCCAGAUUUUUUUCCCCUAUGAUACUCGAGGGUUUAUACAUUUCAGUAUAUAUUUGAUUUUAGUGUUGGAAUCUCAGACAAUUUAAAAAAUUGUAAAAUAGAAGAAAUGUUUAUUUUUUAGGUUUGUUGUCUUGUGAUGGGGUCUUGUUAUGUUCCAUGCUGACCUGGAACUUCUGGGUUCCAGCCAAGCUAUCCUCCCACUUCGAUGUCCUAGAGUCACUGGGAAUACAGACAUGUUCCUGGUGCCUGGCUUCUGCAAAUUCUUUGGUUCACUGAAUUUGUCUACAGUCUUUACAUUCAAAGUCCAGUUACAUUCUUUUCAUCCAUAUUUGCUGAUGAUUAAGAUAAGACCUAAGAGAAUAAGCAGUUUAAAUGUUUAAAUUAAUCGCAGGAUUUAAACAAACUUUAAUACAUCUUUAGAGGAGGGAGGUACAUUUGGAGAUACUAUUAGCCUGAAUUCCUACUGUUUUAGUUUGAAGUCCAUUUUUUUAUUUUUAGUUGUAGAUAGACACAAUACUUUUGUUGGGGAGGGGGUUAAUUUUUUUUUUUUUAUUUUAGAUGUUCAUGGACCUUUAUUUUAAUGUGGUGCUGAGAAUUGAACCCAGUGCCUCACACAUGCUAGGCAAGCACUGUACCCAUGUGGUGCUGAAGAUCAAACCCAGUCCCUUUCAUGUGCUAGGCAAGUGCUCUACCACUGAGCUAUAGCCCCAGCCCUUGAAGUCCAUUUUUAAUGGUUUGCUUUUAUCACAAAAAAAAAUUUAUAACAUUCUAGGGCUGGAUUUGUGGCACAGUGGUAGAGCACUCGCCUUGCACAGGUGAGGUACUAGGUUCAAUCCUCAGCACCACAUAAAAAUAAAUUUUUAAAAAUUUCUAUAACAAAGCCUUGACAAUAGAUAAUAGCAGGGGUGUUGAUGAAAGUUCAGUGAAAUAGGACUGGAGUUGUAGCUUGGUGGUAAUACGCUUACCUAGCAUAUGUGAGACACUGGGUUUGAUUCUCAGCACCAUAUAUAAAUAAAUAAAGAUCCAUUAACAACUAAAAAAAUAUAAAAAGAAGAAACUUAAGUGAAAUAAUAAGUCAAAUUUGUAUGACAAGUUCACAUUAAAAUAUAGCUCCAUUUCUUCCUUUGAUAUAAUGACAAUAUAGGGCAACAAUCUUUUAGCCUAUAACGGUAAGAAAUGUGGCAUGCCUAUUGCUGGGUUGCGUUACUAUGUAACUAUGGUUAUGCCUGGGAUGGCUUAACUUGAAGAAAAUUACAUAAUGAUUUUCCCAGUUUACCUGGACAGUUUGAAAAGCCUCACAAUUGAUUAUGAAAAUCAGACCCUGUCUUUACUGAAAAUCAGUAGUUAAUUCCCUAAAAGAAUAGUUAGAAUGCCUAAAUUUAUAAAAAAGUAUUAGAAUUACUUUGUACCUUACCAAGUUUUGAAAUAAUCCUUUUCAUAUUCUGACCUAUGAAGUUUGGAAAACCUGCCAUCUGCUAUGUUGCCUACCCUUCCGGUUCAGCAAUUGUCUUACCAAUUCCAGAAAUGCAGUGCCAAUAACCCAAAGGUGAUAACAGGCCCAGAAGUUACAUUAAAACUUACUCUGACCAACAAAUAAAAGUAAUCAAGACAAUAAGCAAACUUAAAGGGAGAAAAUAAAAACAUUACAAAAAUGUCUUUUCAGACCUCCCCUAAGAUUGAGUUAAAGGUUUUCAGCCAGUAUUUUCAUAAGUAGUUACAGAUAAGCCUGCCAUUUAGGUUUAGUAACUAGAGUUUCUCCAGGGAAGAUCUUUAAUUCUGUACAGGAAGAAAAAAAAUUUCCCCCUUGGUAUGGGGGAUUGAACCUGAAGUCUACCACUGAGCUUCAUCCCUACCCCUUUUUAAGUUUUUUUUUUUUUUUUUUUAUUUUGAGGCAAUGUCUCACUAGAUUUCCCAGGGUGAUCUUGAACUUGCAAUUCUACCUCAGAAUCUUAAGUUGUUGAUACUACAGGAAUGGGGUGCCACACCCAACAAGAAAAAAGUUAUGUUAAGAAGACAGAAGAGUAUGUUUUCUACUCUUGGGUAACCCAACCAUCGUGUAUAUAAUGGAUUGACAAGUUUAGCUGCUGGGUUUAAUGUACCACUGAAGAUUAAUGUUCCAACAGCAAGAUUUGAGGUUCACAUAUCCAUAGUUAAUGAUUAACCAGGAAAGGUGAGCUGUCUUUAUCCUAUGAUUUUUGUUCUCAGUUUUUAGCAGAUUUGGGUAAUAAGGGAGCCCCAGAAAACAUUUCUUUGAGUACAUACAGUUGAAGCUAUCAAUGUAAGUAUGUUUUAUGAACAGCCAUUUUAGGAAAUUCAAACAUGCAGAGAUGCUCAAAUUGAAGUAAGUAGAUACAUAGUCAUAAGUCAAUUUGCUAGCAAAUCUUUGAGGGUGAACUUGCUGUUAAGGUUAAUCCUUUUAGUUGUAUCUUAAAAUCUUUUAUAAAUGGCUUUCUUGAGAUGAAAUUCCUCUGUCCAGCCAUUUAAUGUGUGCAAUCCACUGGGUGUUAAAUUUGUUCAUGGAGUUGUGCAACCAUUACUAUAAACAAGAAAACAAAAAGUUUUUUCUUUUUUUUUUUUUAAUCAUGCUGAAAUAAAAGUUAUCCAAGGAUUUUGUUUUUGCCUUAAGGAUAGUGGUGCAGGUAAUUUGACAAGAAUAUUUGCAUUAUAACUUCAAUACUGUAAACAGUUAUGUUCCAUAUAUGUAAGAUAUGGUCUUCACUGGUACAGCUUUUACUUGUUUACCUUUGGCAAUCUACAUACAAGAGAAUCUCAGUUCCAACUCUGAAUUCUGCACAUCUUUAAUGUUGCACGUUAUAUGUCUUUCUUGCCUUCCAGUCCCAUGGACGUCUCUCUUCAGUGUUCAUGUUUGGGUGUCUUUUCUAAAAUUGUUCUGCUUUUUCAUUUUGUUUUGUUUUUCUUCUGGGGUCUUCACAACCACUGUUAGAGAAAAUAGUUGGUAUCCAUUUGAACUAGGAAGUUUGACUUAAUCAGGACUUGUCUGUUCCUGCUUAGGUACUUUUUUUUUUUUUUUUUUUUUUGGUACCAGAGUUUAAACCCCAGAGGUGCUUAACCUCUGACCCACAUCCUCAUCCUCAGCCCUUUUUAUAUUUUAUUUAGAGACAUGGCCUCACUAAAUUUUUGAGGCUGACUUUGAACUUGUGAUCCACCUGCCUCAGCCUCCUGAGCCACUGGGAUUACAGGCAUGUGCCACCAUGCCCGGUUAAGCUACACUUAUGAACCCUAUUACUUAGGGGAGUAGAUAUCUGAUAUAGAUGAAGAAAAAUGCAUAUGGAGAAAAGCAAUUGAUAACAAAGCCCUCCUCAAAAAGUAGGGAAUCAGUGCUAGGGAUAUACCUCAGUUGGUAUAGUGCUUGCCUUGCAUGCACAAGGCCCUAGAUUCAGUUCCUAGCACCACCAAAAAAAAAAGUCAAUUUUAACAUAAUUAAGAAUUAACUUUUCCACUACUUGAAGUCAGUCUCACCUCAUUAUUUUCUAAGAGAUUUAACUGGCAAAAUAAACAGAAGUCAGCAAAAGAAGGGAUCAGCUUAGACAAGUUCAAUAUAAUUUUAAAAAUAUAUUAAAGGACAUUGCUUGUAACUAGAUCCUGGCAGUGUGACCCAGUAUGUUCAAAUAUGAUUUCUCAGGAGAUACACACAAGGAGGAAUACACUGGAGACUUGAAAAUGUUUGCCAGUUGAAUUGUUCUCUGCUGUAAAAUAAGACAUUUUGAACUACAAUGAAAGCUGCAAGACCUCAUAUAUCUGGAGUAAAUUCCCAGAUCUCAAAAAUUUAAGCUAAAGCCUAACUUUGUCCAGGCUAGCAUCUAUUCCUGACAAAUUUAAGACUGAAUCCAGCAGCCCUACCAUUUCAACUGUUCAAGAGAAAGGGAAAGGCAUGAAAAUAAUAAAUUUAACUGCUUAUAGCCAUGGGCCCAAAAAUACCCAGAUUUGGAGAACUAUUUCACACCACUAUUUCUAAGUUGAUUUGAAGGUAAUUAGUUCUUAUGUUAAUUAUUAACACCUCCUCAGUAGUUUGAGAUAAGAGGUAAGCUUCAUAUAAUUUGUUCUGAAUCUAAGUAGAGGCUCAAAAGUCAUAUAUAGUCCACUGUAGCCUUAAUUUUUAGGAUGUAUCAGAGCUAUGGUGGAGUUCACUUAAAAUGUUAUUGAACAGUUUAUAAGGGCUGGGAAUGUGGCUCAGUGGUAGAGUGCUUCCCUGGCAUGCAUAAGCCCUGUGCUCAAUUCCUCUGGUAACACUGGUAGGGACAUGUUAUUAAAAUAUUCAUGUACCAGUUGAGGUCAAAAUAAAACUACAGGCUACAUAUACUGUAAUCUUAAGAUCAUCUUCAUGUGGUCAUGGGAAGUUUUUUUGGUCAUUGAAUGAGGCUUUGAAUCUCAAUACUAUAAGACUUGGGCAUGUCCAUUAUGAGACUUUAAAUCCUAUAAGGAGAAAAUAUGCCUACUUCAUUGAGUUUUUUUGAGAGCUAAGGAAAUACAUGAAAAUGCUUAAUACUCAAAAGGCAGAAUGGUACAGUAUAUCUUAGAACAUAGACUACAGAGCCAGUUGGCCUGGAUUGAAAUGACAUUUCUGUCACUGUUGACUUUGAGCGAAUUUUUUAUGCCUCAGUUUCAUCUAAGUGGAAAUACUGAUGAAUAAAUGAGACUAUUCUUUUGAGACAAAAAUAACUUCAUGAGGGUUCACUGAAAAACAUU
Molecule: long non-coding RNA, 6900 nt
Organism: Marmota monax (woodchuck)
Lineage: Eukaryota; Metazoa; Chordata; Mammalia; Rodentia; Sciuridae
Exons: 3
Source: RefSeq, a predicted model, not a curated record